RNAcentral lists this transfer RNA (61 nucleotides) under Peuceptyelus minutus. RNAcentral describes it as "tRNA-His". Lineage: Eukaryota; Metazoa; Arthropoda; Insecta; Hemiptera; Aphrophoridae. The record is from RNAcentral.
UUUAAAUAGUUUAAUAAAAUAAUGAUUUGUGGAUUCAUAGAUGCUUUAUAGCUUUAAAUUU